This is a non-coding RNA of Cinara cedri, 286 nucleotides long. The record is from the annotation of a GenBank genome assembly. NCBI's taxonomy places the organism in Eukaryota, Metazoa, Arthropoda, Insecta, Hemiptera, Aphididae.
AAGACCAUCCGCUCGAACAGACGAGUCUCUUUCAGUCAUCUCCAUUUACUGCUACUUGCUUGCAGUCCGAAUUUUCUCGUUCUACUCAUAAUAAGACACGUCUUGAAAAGUCCUGCUCAAUACAGACUUCCCGACGAAGCUUUGGCCUAACCGAAACCCAUAACCACGGUCUUUAUAAUCGUGGAUUUUUGUUUUCCCUACCUGCCCAUUCUAGGUUAAUGUUUUUUGUCUCGUUCGCAAUGUCCAGUCAUUCAAACAAUUAGUUUAUAGCUCUUGAUUACUCCCU